ACACAAGGCUCGCGUCAUCUGUCACGCCCAUUAUCCUCCGGUGCCUCGGCUCGAAUGUCACUAAGUAACUUCCACACGAGAUGAAAGGAGCGGCGCGCGGAGCGGGAGCAAUGCUAGGCGUAGAGUAGAGUAGAGUAGAGUAGAGUAGAGUAGAGUAGAGUAGAGAAGAGAAGAGAAGAGAAGAGAAGAGAAGAGAAGAGAAGAGAAGAGAAGAGAAGAGAAGAGAAGAGAAGAGAAGAGAAGAGAAACUUCACCUAAAGUAUCGAUCCGAUACCAAUACUGGCGUUGAUUCCGACUGAUCCUCCCACACCUGUCGUGAAGCUUCAGACGAGCCAGUAAGCUGCUGGAUUCACUCUUAUGAAUGAUCCGAUGGUGAGAGUAUUUAACACCGGCCUCUCAGCACUCGAGCAUUUCUCACGACACACUCCUCUGAGAGAGCUGACCCGAUGGAUCCAUGUCGAGACCCCGUCUUCUCCGAGCAGGACUGUCUGGAUUUAUACACAUCCCUCUCUGACUCCGCAGCCGAGCAGAGCGAGCAGGAGCAGGAGCUGGAGACCGAGCAGAGCGCUGCAGGAUCCGAGCUGAAGCGUGCUGUCACUCACACGGACGCUUGGAGCAUCACUUUAAUUGAUUCCGCACAAGGCAGUAACAGCAGAACUGCAUCGCUCUGCGUGUCAACAUCGCAACUGCUCUCAAAAUACAGGCUCAAUCGUGACAAGGUUGACUCGAGCGUGGUGUGGGCCCGCGUGGCUCCUGUGCACGUGUCUCUCCUGGAGUCCGCUGAACUUCUCUUCAAUGUGUCUGUUCCCUGGCUGCCAGUGGAACUGCCGUACAGAAGCAGAUGUAAGUAUUACAGAUGA
This 860-nucleotide long non-coding RNA is filed under the name Sinocyclocheilus grahami. Its description in RNAcentral is "lncRNA (ENSSGRG00000001130.1)". The record is from RNAcentral. Lineage: Eukaryota; Metazoa; Chordata; Actinopteri; Cypriniformes; Cyprinidae.